RNAcentral lists this long non-coding RNA (275 nucleotides) under Brassica napus (rape). Its description in RNAcentral is "long non-coding RNA (BNAP_LNC026271)". Lineage: Eukaryota; Viridiplantae; Streptophyta; Magnoliopsida; Brassicales; Brassicaceae. The record is from RNAcentral.
UACAAAAAAUAAAAACGCUAAUUUUAACGACGCUAACGCUUCCAGAUAAACCCUAAACCCUAAAUCUUAAAUUCUAAACCCAAAUCCAAACCCCUAAACCCAAACCCUAUACCCUAAACUCUAAUCCUAGACCCUAAACCCAAAUUAUAUACCCUAAACCCAAAAACUAGACUAUAAACCUAAACUCUAUACCCUAAACCCAAGUCGUAGAACCUAAACCCAAACCGUAAAUUUUAAACCCAAAUUAUAUACCCUAAACCCAAAACCUUAACCAU